Molecule: non-coding RNA, 17836 nt
Organism: Callithrix jacchus (white-tufted-ear marmoset)
Lineage: Eukaryota; Metazoa; Chordata; Mammalia; Primates; Cebidae
Source: RefSeq, a predicted model, not a curated record
UAAUCGCUUUUUCUGUUAUGGACAGGCGAGAGUCACCAAUAAUUGUGGGUCACGGAAGAGCAGCUUCAUCCUCCUUCCGGUGGGCGGGGCCUGAGGCUUCCCAGCGCCCCCGAAAAGGUGAAAGGUGGAGUAUUGGAAGGAGCCUCCAGUGGGCGGGACGAUGCCGGGAGGAGCCAAUGAGGAGGCAGCGUGAGGGGGCGGGGCCGGAGCCGGGGUCGAGGGCUGGCGCCCGUGGUGGGCCGGGAGGGACCUGGGAGCACGGUUUAGGGUAGAAGCGCAGUGCCAGCUUCCGUCUUCCCGGGCCGCUCCCACACCUGCGCGGACACCCCUGGUCUCCCUUUGCUCUGGGAACGAGCGUGGGGAGCCCUGUUCACCCUCACACCCCGGCUCUAGAGCGGCGCAGAACAUUUCGUGUUUGCUAAGUGCGCUAGUGCCACCCAAACGGCGGCGCAGGUGCUUGAGAAAUAACGGCAGAGGCAGCCGUUGGGAAGGCGCGCCCACCCGACGCUGCUUCUCCGGGCGCCCGAGGCGGAGGGGAGAAGGCACUGGGGUCUCCGUCUCAACCAGUGAGUUCUGGUGAAACGAAACAAAGCCCAGGAAGCAAAUGGGACAAAAUGUUAGCGGUUUUGAUGAUGCUGGAUGCUGGGAAUGUGGACGUGUGUUUGUUUUGUACCUUUCUGUUAUUUUCAGUUUUCUCCAGACACCAAAAACAGACGCGUAUAGAAAACAUUGGGACACAACUAAAGCUCAUAAAUGCACGCGUUUUCAUAACCUGACUGAGGUCCGUGCUGCUGUAGCGCGUACCCCCAAGAGCAGAGGUGCUGGAAGAGCCGGGGCGGCGUGUUCUUACCGUGCCGGCUCGCAAGCGAGGUCCCCGCGGGAGAUAGGGCCUGGCUCCCGCUUCAGCACAGGUUGGCCUCCAGUGCAGUUCUGACGGCCAGGAUCUGAGGGCUGGAGUCCAUGCCCUCCCCAGGAACCCAGGGCGCGAGCUGGUGGCUUCUCGAGUGGAGCGUUGCCUGCUUCUUGCAUUAGUGAAUGUAGGACUGUUUGAGUAAAGGACCAAACCUUUAUUCUUUUGCUUUUUUCCCAUUGAAACCAUUCAUUCAACUCAUGCUAAUUAAAUCCUACUGUUUGCCAGAUGAUAUGCCACUUGCAGAAAGACGCACACAGCUAAACCCCAAGUGUGAGAUGUUGUACAGGACAAAUGACCCUUUCAAUUAAUACCAGUAUUUACGAUAGUAGUAUAAUCAGAAUGAUAAUAUAAUUAAUUGGAGCCUGGAGAAAAAAAAGUGGAACUGAACGGUUAGAGAAUAAAUAAGUUUAAAAGAUAUCAUUGAAUUGAAUGUGUGGAACUUAAUGUGGAUCAUGAUAGAACAAACCAGCUUAAACGAGGCAUUUGAGAGAGAGGUACGGGAGGCCGGGCGCGGUGGCUCACGCCUGUAAUCCCAGCACUUUGGGAGGCUGAGGCAGGCGGAUCACGAGGCCAAAAAAUCAAGACCAUCUUGGCCAACGUGGUGAAACCCUACUAAAAAUACAAAAAUUAGCUGGACGUGGUGGUGGGCGCCUAUAGUCCUAGCUACUUGGGAGGCUGAGGCAGGAGAAUCGCUUGAACCCGGGAAGUGGAGGUUAUGGUGAGCCGAAAUCGUGCCUUGCACUCCAGCCUGGUAACAGAAUUAGACUCUGCCUAAAAAAAAAAAAAAAAAAAAAAAAAAGGUCGGGAUAAUUGGAAUUGAAAUGUAUACUGGGUAUAAGAUGAAAACUGGAGUUAUGGAAUACUUUUGGUAGGGAGCAGUAAGGGCCUUGUGGGUAAAAUGUCCUAACCUUUAGAGAUGCAAAUGUAAGUAUUUGUAGUAAAUUGCCCCUAUCGCUGGUAUUUGCUUUGUAAAUUCUCCAUUACAAAAAGAAAAAUCAACGACAGGUGAAACACAAGUGGCAAAUGUUAAUAAUGGUGGAAGCUGAGUGAUGAAUGCCCCAGGAGUUAUGACGAUUUUCUCGUCUUUUGCAUAUGCUUGUAGUUUUCUGCAAUAAAAUUUGUUUUAUUUUAUUUUGAGACAAAGUCUCACUCUGUUGCCCAGGCUGGAGUGCCGUGGCGGAAUCUCAGCACAUGGCAACCUCCGCAUCCCGGUUCAAGCGAUUCUCACGUGUCAGCCUCCCUAGUAGCUGGUCCUACAGGCGCGUGUCACCAUGCUUGGCUAAUUUUUGUCUUUUUUAGUAGAGACGGGGUUUCACCAUGUUACCCAGGUUGGUCUCAAACUCCUCCUGAGUUCAAGCAGUCCACCCUCUUCAGCUUCCCAAAGUGCUGGGAUUACAAGUGUGAGCCACCAGACCCAGGCUUUCUGCAAUAAAAUUUACAAACCUAUCUCACCUUUCUUAACUGGCUGUGGGGCUCAGAAGGAAUCAGAUGGGCAUCUUGCAGCUCAGAGCCUGAUGAAGAGUUGUAGCUGCUGUUUCCCAAGACAGAUGAGCACAGGUCGUCCCAGUGGGGAUGCCAUGUUGGGUACUGUGAACCUCCGCUCAGGCCAGGCCAGCCACCAGGCCAUGCCCUGUGUCCAUAUCCAAAUCUGUGGGAUUUCUCUGAUCUGCCAGAGAAAGGCCUGACACCUCGUGGCCACAUCAGGAACUGCUCCACAGGCAGUCAGCUAUUGGGAACCUACCUGCUCAGGUAGCUCCCCGAGGUCUGGAACUGCACCACAGUGCAAGUUCUCUUCAUGUGGAGGUGAAGCUGCCUGUGUGGAAGACUCUUGGAUUAGUCAUCUGAGCACACGUCCAGCAAUGGGCAUGGAUGGCCUAGCCAGAGUCUGUGGGUGCAGGAAGAGCUGACUGUACAGCACGUGGUGCCCCUAACAAACACGUGGUGUUUAAAAAGAAAAAAAGGUCGUGCAGAUGGUCUGACAGUCUGUCGACUGUGGGUGUGGUGCUCAUGGCAGCUGAGCACUGCCCGGGUAACAGACUGUGUGCUGGGUGCUUCAAAGUUGUCCUCUUGGGGAUCAGCCCAACUCUGGUGAGGUGGGGAACCAGGCUCAGCCAGGUUAGGUGACUUCCACCAGGUCAUGCGGGUGUAAGAAAGGCAGGACUCUUGUGUAUUUCUCCUAACUGAGCCCACAGUCUGCGUCGGGGCUGAAGCCAGAACCCACAUAUAUUCAGCACAGGGUGAUUGCUGUCAUGAGCUGCAUUGCUGUGAUCCCUUGGCAAGGACACGAAUUUUCAUCCUUUUAUUCGACUUUGAAAGAAUCAAAUUGAGAAAAAUAUGAGUUUGAUGAGGCAUGGCAGACAGAAUUCUAAAGUUGGGCCCACUGACUUGUACCCCUGGCUGUUCAGUCAAACAGUAGCCUAGGUGCUGCUGUGUAGGGACUGAUGGAAUGAAAGUCCCCAGCCAUUUGACCUUGAGAUCAGAGAUUAUCUGGUGGGCGUGGCCUCAUGAGCCUAAUGAAAGCAGGGAGCUUUCUCCAGCUGUCAGCAGAAAGGAAGGUCAAAUACAAUAUGUGAGAAAGGCUGGAAUUAACAUUGCUGGUUUGAAGGAGGACGUGUUUGUGUGAGAAGGCAUGUGAGUGACUUAUAGAAGCAAAAUGGCCCCCAGCCAGGGAACGAGGACCCCAGAGCUGCAGCCGCCAGGAGCUGGACUCGGGGCCACCUGAAUGCAACUGGAGGAGGAUUCUCCCCGAGAGCCUUCGGGGAAGAGCUCAUCCCAGCCACCACCUUGAUUUAGACCUUGUGAGACCUGGAGUGGAGAGCCCAGCUUAAUUCACUUGCCGCUGUCAACAUCCUGGACCCGCCACAGAGAAGAACCCGAGUUUCCCAGGUGAAGAGACUUGCCUGAAAAGGGGUUAACUGACAACGUGGCAGCCGAUCCACCGCUGCUUCCCCUCGCCUGCUGGUUCCAAACUGAGAAUGAUGUUCUGGAGGGAGCCUGGCUGCUGUUGAAAGGCAGGAAGACAAAAGGGCCUGCAGACACUGCCUGGAAGUCACAGUGCCACUUCCAGUACCGAAGCCCUUGGCUCUGCCAGCCUCUGCUCCACUCCUGCAAGGCGCCUCCAGCCCCGCCCUCGCACUGAGAAACCAGCUACAAAUUAGCUUCAUUCGCUUCCCUUGGUUUGAGUUGAGCUUCUGUCACUUGCAGCUGAUGGUCUUCACCAAAAUAAGUCUUAACAGCCACAUCUGCGGGAGGCAUUGUAGCCCCAGUCGGCAGAUGAGGGUGGGUGGUGGGGUCAGGGCCCAGGCCCUUUCCAGUACACACUUUCCUGCCCCUCAUGUCAUCAAAGCACGCUGACACCCAUGUUGGGCCUGUUUCACUGAGUCUCUGCAAGGGUUUUCUAGACAAGGGGGCGAAGCAGAGCCAUGGCCAGAGGAUGCACAGCUGUGGGCGGCCGGGCUGGGCUGGCCCCACCCCCCAUGCUACCCACCACCCAGGCUGCAGGCACCGACGAGGAUCCAGCUGAGGAGGGCAUGCAGGCAGAUGAAUGAGUGGCUGAGCAUCGGUGAGCAGCGACAGAGGUCAGGGUACCCACGGACACCACGCUGCCUGUGUGAGGUGACAGCGGUAACUUCAGCAACGGUGGUGCAGAGUCUCAACUCUGUUGCACAGGCUGGAAUUCAGUGGCUCAGUCUCAUCUCACUGCAACCUCCACUCCCUGGGUUCAAGCAAUUCUCCUGCCUCAGCCUCCCGCGUAGCUAGGAUUACAGGUGUGUGCCACCACACCCAGCUAAUUUUUCAAUUUUCAGUAGAGAUGGGGUUUUGACUUUUAGGCCAGUCUGGUCUCAAACUACUGACCUCAAGUGAUCUGCUCUCCUUGGUCUCCCAAAGUGCUGGCAUUACAGGCAUGAGCCACUAAGCCCAGCCCAGAAAAUAGACUCUUAUCACACUUAUGCAAGUAGCUAAAGUGCCAUAAAUUAAGAGUACUCACAAAUAGCUUCCAAAUUUUGGAGAAAUCAGGUAGUGAGAAACAAAUAUGCUCCAUAUUUUGUUCACAGGAGUAUACUUUACUCAAUUGCAAAAAGCUGUAAAUAGCACAAAGGUUUCCUUCACUCUGAUGAAUGAAAAAGAAUCAGUAGUGUUUUAGCGAAAAAGAUUACUUCAGUUUUAUAUUGGUUUAGUUAACUCCUGUCGUAUUUGAUAUUUAUGAACAUUCCAGCUCUUCAUCAGAAUUCUGAAAGCUGUUUCAUCUAUUCUAAUGUUACAAUUUACAAAGUUAUUAGAAACCUGCAUUUAAGCCACUAGCUAGAGUUUUAUUAUUAAUUAUAAACCACCUUUUAAAGAGGAUUAAAACAAGACAAUGAUUAUCUGUGGAUGAAAAGUUUUAAGAGAGCCACUGUUAGAACCAUGAUUGAUAAGGAAAUUUGGUUACUUAUGUGGCACAAAAAAUUUUACCUAACAAUUAUUAAUAACUACACUAAGUCAUAUUACAAUUAUAGGAGUUUCCCAUCACUUUGGAACAUAUACCACUUAUACCAAAUCUUACAAUCCUUCACCAAAAACACAUUUUCAACUUUUAUUUCUGGCAAAAAUCUUGGUAAAUUUGAGAUUCUAAUUAUGUAUUAUGUGUGGAGCUUGCCUAGGACACACCAGGCAAAAGUGUAGAUUUAGAGCUGACUCUCCAGCAUAGCUGGGGACAUGGCUAACUCCACAUGUCUCCAGGCCUUACCUAGCUGUAAAGCAGGCAAGUUGUACAGUAAAAGUCAUAGUAUUAUUUAGGAGACCUAACAACCUUUGAAUUGUACAACAGUUCUUGCACAAAUUCCCUUUCACAAAUCCUUUCAUGACUUAGAUGACCUGAGACAUUAGACUUUCUGACUUGCUGUAAACAUUCCUCCUUUUAAAUAACCAGUCAUUUUACUUUAGAACAAGAUUUUUUUUUUUUUAAGCUGGAGUCUUGCUCUGUCACCCAGGCUGGAGUGCAGUGGAAUUAUAGGUUCAUGCCACCAUGCCCCAUUAACUUUUGUAAUUUUUAGUAGAGAUGGGGUUUCACCAUGUUGGCCAGGCUGGUCUUGAAUGCCUGACCUCAUGAAGAUCUGCCCACCUUGGCCUCCCAAAGUUCUGGGGUUACAGGUGUGAGCCAUUGCAUCCAGUCUAGGACAAUAUUUUUUUUUAGACAGAGUUUCACUCCUGUUGCUCAGGCUGGAGUGCAGUGACACAAUCUCAACUCACUGCAACCUCCACCUUCUGGGUUGAAGUGAUUCUCCUGCCUCAACUUCCCAAGUAGCUGGGAUUAGAGGCUUGUGCCACCACACCGGGCUGAUAUUGUAAUUUUAGUAGAGAUGGGGUUUCACCAUGUUGGUCAGGCUGGUCUCGAACUCCUGACCUUAGGUGAUCCACCCACCUUGACCUCUCAAGUGCUGGGAUUACAGGUGUGAGCCACCGUGCCUGGUGCAAGAUCCUUUCUUAUAGAAAAUCUCUUUCUUCAUAAUCAUCUUUGUAUAGCUAGGAAGCAUGCCUAAUUCCCCAUGUCCCAGGUCUUAUCUAGAAUCUAAUGGCUUUAAGGUAGGUAGAUUGAAUAAUUUUUAAAAAUUAAAGAAGUAGUUUAUGAUCUUAAAGCAUUUAGCAAAUUUAGUAUCUGACCUUCACAAUUUAGACUAAAUGUUUUUUAUCAAUAAUUUUUAAAGCUGUUUUUAUUUCCCAAAGAUUACUAAAGUUGCAUGAACUAAAAGGCAUUGCAAUUUUUUUUUUUUUUUGGAAGGAGUCUCCUUCUGUUGCCCAGGCUGGAGUGCAGUGGCACAAUCUCGGCUCACUGCAACCUCUGCCCUAGUUCAAGCCAUUCUCCUGCUUUAGCCUCCUGAGUAGCUGGGAUUACAGGUGCGUACCACCAUGCCUGGCUAAUUUUUGUAUUUCUAGUACAGGCAGGGUUUCACCAUGUUGGCCAGGCUGAUCUCAAACUCUUGACCUUGUGAUCCGCCUGCCUCAGCCUCCCAAAGUGCUGGGAUUACAGGCGUGAGCCACUGUGCCCAGCCCCAGGCAUUGCAGUUUUUAUUUUGCCUUCAGAAUAUUUGAUAUAAGUGCUUAUUUGUGUUUAAGCCAAUUAAUUAGUGCUCUUUUAUGUAAACAUUACAGAAAACACGUAUAGCUAUACAGAAAGACAGAAGACGAUUACUACAGUAGUUGUAAAAUUUUUCAUUAGCCAGUUUUUAAGUUUUCUAGUUAGAUGACUGGCUGUCAGGUGGAGCCCUUGGAAGAACAGGGCCGGGAAAGGGGUCUCUGGUGCCUCUGUUUUUCUCAAGGAGUCUAGGCUGUUAGAGUUUGAAUAUCCACUUUUAAUUAAACUGAUUUUAACCACAACACUCCUGAACAAAGUCCUUUUAGAAUUUCUUCUGCCAAACAGCCGAUAUUUCUAGCCUUUGAACUUUAACCUCCCAGGUGCUUAGAGAAAGGAAAACUUAAAACACUCCAUGGAGGAGAGUCGAAUAGACAAGGUCGUGCAGACAUUAAACCAGAAAGGACUUACUUCCUAGGUGGGGAAUCAAGCCUGGAUCGCCACUGUGAAAGUGUGAAGCUUUGGCCACUGAGCUCCAGCAUGGGGCAGCCUCCAUCGCCCUUCCCAGAAGGAGUGAGUGCAGAAGAGUGAAUUUUGAGCUUGCCAAGGCUUUUUAACAAAUAUGAUUUUUACAGCUAACUAUGACAUGAACCCUAAGAUUCCUGUUCCCUGGAAGGGGGAGACCAAAAGUACUGCCAUGUGGUCACAAGGUCAAGUUCCCAAGGACAUAAAACAAGGUGGAGACUUUGCCCAGUUUUUUUUUGUUGCAGGCACCUGCAGCCAAGUCUGCUACUGCCCGGUUUGCUGGGUCAUCGUGAACAGCGGGCUUACAGGUGUUCUAAGGCCGUGUUUUACCCUGAAAUUACCCCUCAACACAGAAAAAUGAACUCAUAGCACAAAACACACCAGCUUAAGACUAGCCUUAGAAUUCUUUUUUGCAUUAAUCAAAACUUGACAGAAGAGCUAAACACUGAUUAUUUUAUUAUAUUUUAUUUUUUUUUUUACCAUUCGUUCAACUGUUUGCACAGAGAGAAGCCAGGUAUCUGGCUGGUAAGAACGUCUGACUCUUUUUUAAAAUUUUUUGAGAUGGAGUGUCACUCUGUUGCCCAAGUUGGAGUGCAGUGGCACGAUCUCAGCUCACUGCAACCUCUGCCUCCCGGGCUCAAAGGAUUCUUCUGCCUCAGCCUCCCGAGUAGCUGGGACUACAUGCGUGUGCCACCAUGCCUGGCUAAUUUUUUGUAUUUUUAGUAGAGACAAGGUUUCACUGUGUUAGUCAGGAUGGUCUCGAUCUCCUGACCUCGUGAUCCACCCACCUUGGCCUCCAAAAGUGCUGGGACUACAGGUGUGAGCCACUGUGCCCAGCCAGAAAUUCUUACCCUUUUGCUGGUAUUCCAGGCUUCCGGGUUCCCUUUCCCUGAGCAGCCUUAGUGAUCCAGCUUGUGGCACCAUCACCCAGGGGCCAAGCCUCAUCAUAAAGGAAAUUAUUAUUUUUUGUUCUGGCCAAAACAAAAUACAUGUGAUAAAACCUAGACAUUAGCCACUCUGCUUAGCCCCCACUAUCAAAUUGGCAAGGCUGAAAUUUGUCCUCAGAUGGGCCCCUUCUUCUUUAAUCCAGUUUCCAACUUGGAGUUUCACCACGUGGUCUCUGGGCAAGAUGGCUGCCCUGAGUAACAGAAAAGAUAGGAAAGGAAAAGGAGAGAAGGAAAGCGUUGCCUGAGUCAGGGUGGGGAAGGGGAAGAGCGCAGGGAGGCCAGAAAAGACCCACUCAUUGCAGCGGACAGUGAAGACUUCAGGCGGCCACUUGUCGGCAGCAAAGGAAUCUUUUCCAGCAGUCCCGUCGCUCUCAAGUUUCCCCAUUUAGGGAGGAAAAAGCUCCCCAAGUCCCACAAUCCUGUACCUGCCAACCGUGUCACCCACAGCCAUCAGCAAAGAGUGCAGGGCAGAUUAAUCCAAAGAGACGAGCAGUUACAUCCCCUGGGGCCAAACCUGUUCUUAGCUGCGAGGGAUUUUGCUGUCUUUAAACCCCUAACUCUUAGAAGGGACUCUAACCCUCCCUAAGUUGGGUGUUUAACCCAAGGUCGGUCAAGCAUCCUUGCCUUUUUUUUUUUUUUUUUUUUUGAGACGGAGUUUCGCUCUUGUUACCCAGGCUGGAGUGCAAUGGCGCAAUCUCAGCUCACUGCAACCUCCGCCUCCUGGGUUCAGGCAAUUCUCCUGCCUCAGCCUCCUGAGUAGCUGGGAUUACAGGCAUGCGCCAUCAUGCCCAGCCGAUUUUUUGUAUUUUUAGUAGAGACGGGGUUUCACCAUGUUGACCAGGAUGGUCUCGAUCUCUUGACCUCGUGAUCCACCCGCCUUGGCCUCCCAAAGUGCUGGGAUUACAGGCUUGAGCCACCGUGCCCGGCCUGCAUUCUUGCCUUUUAUUAAGAGGGGCCUCUAACCCGCUCUGUCUUAGGGGAGAAUCCAACUUCCCUAAGUAGGCCUCUAACCCAAUCCCGUCCUUUACCCGGGUACCCCAUCGCUCACCCAGAGUCAGCCAAUCUGUGCUGCAGUGGAUUUCCUUUGGGUCGGGGGUCUCCUCAGUAUUGUCCCUUUUGUGGUUCAUGGGAAAGGGGUUACUGGACCCCAGCACUUACACAAAGUUAGCCUUUGGGUCAGGGCUUUCCACAAUAUAGGCCCUUCACGGUCACCAGAAAGAUAUUACAGGGAAGGGGUCCCGAUCCGGACCCCAAGAGCGGGUUCUUGGAGCUGGCACAAGAAUUCCAGGCAAGUCCACAGUGCAAAGUGAAAGCAAGUUUAUUAGGAAAGGGAUAAAAGAAUGGCCACCCCAUAGGCAGGGCAGCCCUGAGGACUGCUGGUGCCCAUUUUUAUGGUUAUUUCCUGGUGAUCUGCUAAACGAGGAGCGGAUUAUUCAUGCCUCCCCUUUCUAGACCAUGUAGGGUAACUUCCUGACGUCGCCAUGACAUUUGUAAACUGUCAUGGCGUUGGUGGGAGUGUAGCAGUGAGGACGGCCAGAGGUCAUUCUCGUGGCCAUCUUGGUUUUGGUGGGUGUUGGCCGGUUUCCUUACUACACCCCGUUUUAUCAGCAAGGUCUUUAUGACCGUAUACUGUGCCAACCUCCUGUCUUAUCCUGUAACUGCCUUAACCAUCUGGGAAUGCGGCCCAGUAGGUCUCAGCCUCAUUUUACCCAGCUCCUAUUUCAGAUGGAGCAGCUCUGGUUCACACACCUCUGAAGAGCAUUAUCACCUAUAGCAAGGACUUGAAAGAGCCGGCAUCACAGCAUGCUGGGCCAGGGUGUGUAAUGACACAGAGAGUGCUUGGUACAGUUUUGUGAAAGUUGUGUGGUAAGAGAGUGUUCCUCUUUGGGAGGCCGAGGCGGGUGGAUCACGAGGUCAAGACAUCGAGAUCAUCCUGGUCAACAUGGUGAAACCCCAUCUCUACUAAAAAUACAAAAAAUUAGCUGGGCAUGGUGGCGCGUGCCUGUAAUCCCAGCUACUCAGGAGGCUGAGGCAGGAGAAUUGCCUGAACCCAGGAGGCGGAGGUUGCGAUGAGCCGAGAUCGCGCCAUUGCACUCCAGCCUGGGUAACAAGAGCGAAACUCCGUCUCAAAAAAAAAAAAAAAAAAAAAGAGAGAGAGUGUUCCUCCACCGUGAUUUCAAUGAUGUGCAACAGCCUGGGAGAAGACAGCAAAACGCGGUCACUGGUCACUUGUGGGGACUGGGAUCCGGGCCAAUUUUAUUUUCUUCUUUGUACUUUUCUAUUUUGUCCAACAUUUUUUUAAAAAAAAUGGGCAUACGUUAACUUUUAAAAAAGCUUGUCUGACUUUAUAUUUAAUGAAAAGGCAUUUUAAUGUAUAAUACAUUAAAUGCAUAUGUACAUUAAUAUUAAUCUGUAUGUUACAUACGUUAAUAUGUACAUUAGUACAGAACAAUCUGAAAUACAUGCACAUGGGCAGAAAGAAUUGAAACCAUAUAAAAAUACAUUUGGAGGACAGUUUCCCUCCUGUGUCUGUCUCUAAAUUCCUUUCCAGGGCAACUGUCACUAUCAUUUCCUGUGGGCGCAUGUGGAGGUAUAUUACAUAACAGUCAUGAAUAUGUAUACAACACCCACGAUUUUUCACAAAUGUUGCGUUUUAUUCAGGCUCUUCUGCUCCUCAUCUUCUUUCUCUUUUAUUUUUUUCUAAAUGAGAAACUUAGCUCUAUUUUUUAUAUUUAUUUAUUUUUAUGUUUUUAUUUUUUUUGAGACAGAGUUUCACUCUUAUUGCCCAGAAUGGAGUGUAAUGGCGCAAUCUUGGCUCACUGCAACCUCUGCUUCCUGGGUUCAAGUGAUUCUCCUGCCUCAGCCUCCUGAGUAGCUGGGAUUAAAGGCCCGCGCCACCAUGCCCAGCUAAUUUUUUUGUAUUUAGUAGAGAAGCGGUUUUACUAUGUUGGUCAGGCUGGUUUCAAACUCCUGACCUCAGGUGAUCCACCCGCCUUGGCCUCCCAAAGUGCUGGGAUUACGGGUGUGAGCCACUGUGUCCAGCCUAUUUGUUGUUGUUAUUAUUAUUAUUAUUAUUAUUUUUGAGGUGGAGCUUCACUCUUGUUUCCCUGGUUGGAGUGCAGAGGCAAGAUCUUGGCUACUGCAACCUCUGUCUCCCAGGUUCAAGCAAUUCUCCCACCUCAGCUUCCUGAGCAGCUGGGAUUACAGGCACCUGCCAGCAUGCCUGGCUACUUUUUGUAUUUUUAGUAGAGACAGGGUUUCACCAUGUUGGCAAGGCUUGUCUCGAACUCCUGACCUCAAGUGCUGUGCCCACCUCAGCCUCCCACAGUGCUGGGAUUACAGGUGUGAGCACUGCACCUGGCCCAACUCUAUUUUUUAAAUGUAACUAAUACAAUCCAAGACUGUUCAUAACUAUGUGUGCAGAUCUACUCAGACUUUUCAAUGGCUCCAUGGCAGUUAUCUCGAUGUCAUCAUAAUUUAAUCUGACCCCAUAUGUGGACAUUUAAAUGUUUCUAAUCUUUGGCACAAGUGUUAAUACAUGUAGAUGUAUAUACGUAUGUAAAUCACUAAGGGGCUAUCAGAUUGCUGUAAUCACUUCUAGCAAUCCAAAAUCCACCUCCAGCAACAACAAAAGUAACAGGAUGCCUGUCUCAUGGUAGGGAAGGUGGGAAUAGCUUUUGAUAAAUAAUUCUGGGUGAGCUGGAGGUUUGUACGGGAAAGGCUUGUCUUGAUUCACCUUCCACGACACCAAAAUAACGCAUUCCGUAUGGACGGCAGAGCUAAGAGUGAAGAGUGAAAAAUCAAGCUUUUAGAGGAAAACAUAGGAGGACAUCUUUGUAGCCUUGGCACAAAUAAAGAUUUCUCAAAAAGUGCUUAAACGUGCUAACUGAGAAAUCGAUAAGUUGAACUGUAUUGAAAACAAGAAGUUCUGUUCAUCAAAAGACACUGUCGGCUGGGCGUGGUGGCUCACACCUGUAAUUCCAGCACUUUGGGAGGCUGAGGCGGGUGGAUCACGAGGUCAGGAGUUUCACCAUAUUGCCUAGCCAAUAUGGUGAAACCCCGUCUCUACUAAAAAUACAAAAAUUAACCAUGUGCGGUGGUGGACCCCUGUAAUCCCAGCUACUCAGGGGGCUGGGGCAGAGAAUUGCUUGGACCCAGGAGGCGGAGGUUACAGUGAGCUGAGAUCGUGCCACUGCACUCCAGCCUGGGCGACAGAGUGAGACUCUGUCUCAAAAAACCAAAAAUUAAAAAACAAACAAAAGACACUGUCAAAAGAGUGGGAAGGAUAGUUGCAAAUAUAUGUAUAUAUCCCAAACAGGACUUGUAUUCAGCAAAUACAGAGAACUAGAGCUUGUGAAGGAAAAGACAGACAACCCCAUGGACCGACGGGGAUACUUCACAGAAGAGGAUAGCUAAUUGUCAAUCAUCACGGAAGAAGUGUUAAUUGCGCUGGUCGUUAGGAAGAUGCAAAUUAAAACCACAAUGUGAAAUGACUACACCCCUGCCCAACCCAAGGCUGAAAAGAAAAAGACCACAAAUACCAAAAGUUGGGGAGGAUGUUUGUGGUUAUUUUGAGCUGUUAGGUUUUGGGGUAAUUUGUUACGUGGCGAUAGCUAGCUAAUACAUCUAGUCAUUCAGAGAGGGUUUUAGGAGUCAUUGAGAAGAUGAGAGGGAUACAUUUUGGGACUCAUUUUAGAGUAGCUUGGUCCUUUUUAUCAAGAUGCAUUGAAAAAUGAAAGCAAUUAUCUCGGCAAUUCGACCAAGGUAAUAUUAAUUCCAUUUGGAGGUAUCCAGUCAAAGUUUAUGAUGUGCCUUUUAUUUUAAUUGAAUUUCUUCAUAAUGGUCCUGAUUCCCAUUUCACUUGGCUGAGGCCAGCUCGGCCUUGAUCUCCAGAAUCCUCCCAGCGCUGGAAACCUCUUUGGCAAUUGGGGUUAAUCACCUCUGUGAUGCUGCUACAUCCAACUGUGAGAGAGAAAAGAUUUCAUCCGAGAAAAGGCCCGCACGCAAGGGAACCCAGCACUCACCGGCAUGUCAUAAAACCUGCCUGACCUUUAAAGCCAAUUACCAGGACAUCUACACCAAGCCAAAUGAAACAACCGUUACGGGGACGGAGCUGAGCAGGCUUUGGAAACCCCACACCAAGUUGUUUCUUCCCACUCUGCCCUUUCUAUAAAACUGUUUCCCCUUAAAAAGCAGCAUCAUGUCUGAGGGGGCUUCUACCUGGAGAAAUUGCCCUGGCCUUAAACCUUGUCAACAUAACGACACAGUCAUCCUUCAAGGAAAAUUCCGAAGACAAGGACAGGUGCUUGCCCGUGAGCUUCGCUUCCUUUCACAGAAUCUCUUUCUUGGCAGCAGCCAUGUGGCCACAAGCUGUUUAGAAGUCAAAGGCCUGGCAGGGGAUGGUGGCUCACGCCUGUAAUCCCAGCACUUUGGGAGGCUGAGGCAGGUGGGCCACCUGAGAUCAGGAGUUAGAGACCAGCCUGGACAAUAUGGUAAAACCCAGUCUCUACUAAAAAUACAAAAAAAAAAAAAAAAAAAAUUAGCCAGGCUUGGUGGUGGGCACCUGUAAUUCCAGCUAUUUGGGAAGCAGAGGGAAGAGAACCGCUUGAACCUGGGAGGUGGAGGUUGCAGUGAGCCGAGAUUGUGCCACUGAGCUCCAGCCUGGGCGACAAGAGCAAAACCCUGUCUCAAAAAAAAAAGUGCAAUUCCACCCCCACCCACGAUGACAGUGAGUCCCAGACACACAGAGGGGCAGGAAGGGGAGUGCUGUGAUGCUGGCUGUGGCCAUGCCACCCUUCUGUCCCCACAUCCUCUUGAGGAUUUUCACCCCCCUCACCCCCACACUCAGAAACACAGGAGCUGCUCCUGGAGGUGGGGCAGGGGGUUUGCUGCCACUUCAGGCAGGACAUAGCGUCUUCACAGCUCACUCCCAUUGGGCUUUAUUUGUUGCCCUUGUUUGUGUCUGUGGGGCUGGGGCCCAGCUCCAAGUGGUCACCCAGGACCCGGUGGACAGGGUCGCCAUUGCGGCAGGUGCCUCUGAGGAGGGGAGACUCCUGCAGAAGGAGCACAUGUUGCCAGCACUCAUGGCCCUCUGGCCAGAGCUGGCCACGGCCGCCUCACUGCUGGGGUAGCCCGAUGGCUGUCUCAGCCACACCCAGGCAUGCUGGUGGCCUUGGCCCCCGGCGGCAUCCCCGGUGCUAGACACUAAGCUCCUGGAGGACAGAGAACAAAAUGCUUUUGCUACUCCUGCCUCCAUGGCUCGGCCCUCACCUUCACUCCCACGCGAGCCCUUUCCUCUGUGUGUGCUUGUGUGUCUGUGUGUGUGUCUGUGUGUGUGCAUGCGCGUGCACCUUGCCACUGGGAACCUCAAUGCUGGUGUUAUUUUAUUUUUCAAAUAUAACUGAUGCCCGAUUUCCCUGUGUGACUUUUCGGCUGUUCGUUUUGAACCCCAAGAUUCUUUCCUAGAUAGCACUCUCGCCGAGCUUGUAUCCAGCUGAAUGCAGUCUGCACGCAGGAAGUAUGAGCCGGCUCUGAUCUCAGUGGAACAGCUGGAUUGUAAACCUGCGGCUUGGAGUCCUCAGGAGCUGCCUUGUUUUUCAGCAUCCGGCUGUCACCGUUUUGACCUUGUGCCUCCCUAACUGAGAAACGACAGAGCUGAGCAGAGCCGGGCGAGAAGCAGGGAGGAGACCUGGCAGCCCCGAGUUGGUUUCUCCAUGAAACAGGCCUGAGAUGGGAAGAAAUUCAGGUUAGAAAUCAGUGCGGAGACUCUCGGUCUCCUCUACCUUAUUAGGUCAUCAGAUGAGACCCAGGUGCACAAUGCAAAAGAUGGUUCACGUUAAAAUUGCUCUUUCAGGUUUGAUGGGCCAUUUUACUCCUGGGCAUCCACCCAAAGGAGCUGAAAGUAGGGGCUUGAACAAACACGUCUGCUAGUGUUCACGGCAGCACGGUCCACACUGGCCAAGAGGCGGACACAGCCCAGAGGGCCAGCAGGGAUGAAUGGAGGCACAAACAUGGUCUAAACAUACAGUGCAAUAUUAUUCAGCCUUAAAAAAGAAUGAAAUUCUGGCUGGGCGCGGUGGCUCAUGCCUGUAAUCCCAGUAUGCUGGGAGGCCGAGGCGGGCAGAUCAUGAAAUCAAGAGACUGAGACCACCCUGGCCAACAUAGUGAAACCCCGUGUCUACUAAGAAAAAAUACGAAAAUUAGGUGGGCGUAGUGGUGCGCGCCUGUAGUCCCAGCUGCUCGGGAGGCUGAGGCAGUAGAAUCACUUGAACCCGGGAGGCGGAGGUUGCAGUGAGUGGAGAUCGCACCACUGCACUCCAGCCUGGUGACAGAGUGAGACUCCAUCUCAAAACAAAACAAAACAAAACAAAAACUGACAUGUUCUACAACAUGGAUGAGGCUUGAGGACAUUUCGAUCAGUGAAAUAAGCCCGACGUGGAAGGACAAAUAUUGUGUGGUUCCACUGGCAUGAAAUAUCCAGACCAGGCAGAUCUCACAUAGAGACAGAAAGUAGAACGGCGGGCGUCGGGGCUGGGGGAGGGCGGCCGGGAGUUCGCGUUAAAUGGGACAGAGUCUCUGUUUGGGAAGACGAGAACGUUCUGGAGAUGGAGGGUGGUGAUGGUGGUACAGCAGUGUGGAUGUGCUUCAGGCCCCUGAACUGUACACCUGAAAGUGGCUAAGAUGGCACAGUUUUUGUUCGAUGUAGUUUUGCCACAGUUGAAAAAUUAGUAAUGUAAAAACAUACCGGGGAUAGAUUUGAAAAAGUUCUGCCAGAAACAGGAGUGGAUGUGUCAGGAGAAUCUGGGCAGAGAACCAGGAAUGGAAGCCAAUUAAAGCUCUCUGAGAACUCUGACUUAGGCCAUUUUAAUUUCUUCUAAGUAGUAAAAUAUAUGAGACCGACAAAUUAAAUACUUCUCAUAAAAACAAAACCGACGAAAUGUAUGGCUCAUUUACAUUGUAAAUCUCCAAUUAAGAGGAGAAAUAAACCCAUUCUGGACACCUGAACUGGCGAGACCAGUUCAAUUGUGUCCCCCAAAAUCCAUAUGUGGGAAUUCAAACUCCCAGCAUCCCCGAAUGUGACCUGAUUUGGAGAUGGGCCCUUUGCUGAGAUAAUUAACUUAAAAUGAACUCACUGCAGGUGGAGGUGGGGGGGGCUGGUGUCUUCAUAAAGAGGAGAAAUUUGGAGACAGACACAGACAGGGAGAGCGCCACGUGAAGAUGAAGGCCAAGACUGGGAGACACUUUUCCAAGCCAAACACUACCCAGGCUUAUGAGCAAAAAAAAAACCUCCAGGAGCUGGAAGAGAGGCUCCCAAGAGAGGCUCCCGGAGCCCCUGUAGAGGACCCACCCUGCCAACACCUUGAUUUUGAACUUGCAGCCUCCAAAACUGUGAGAUGAUAAAUUUCUGCUGUUUUUUAAGCCAUCCAGUACUGGGACAAGUCCUAAGGUGUAUGAUAAAUUAUAUUGUUUGCUGAGAAUGAUCAAAAGGAAAACCUGGCCACCCCCCACCCCCGACCUCCUGCAAGUGCAAAACUGCUUGGGACAUUCUAAAGUAGCAAAACAGUAUAUAUAUAUAUGUCACACGCCAGUUAAAACAAUUCUUUAAGGAUGGGAUACGUGACCCUGCCCCCGUGGCUCCCUCGUGGAGAAUACUUUCUGGUUUGUCCGUGAUCAGUGGUGAGCAGGCACCAGCUGCCCACCUAGUUUCUCUUGGGUCUAUGAGAAAACACAGAACACCUGUUUGUUAAUAAUGAGCACCUGUUCAGAGAGAAUAAAUACGUGGGUCAGAAUCUGCUUGAGGCCCUCAGCCUGGAAGGCUGACAACUCCCUGCGGCUCUCAGCUUGGAAGACUGUUGGCCCCGGGGUUGUCCCACUUUGCUGUUCUAGCUGGGUGUCUGCUUCUCAAUUCCUUCAGCACCGCCCGGUGGGGUCUCUACGGCCGAGCUGGUCUCGGUAACCCAGUUGGAGGCACUUUGCUGCAGCAGCCUUGGGAAACUAAUACAGGUAAACAAAACAACAAAGAUUUUUCUUCUUCUCAUGUUGUGUUCGGAUUUUCCUCUUCUUAUAAAGACACCCGUCCUUAUAGUAGAACAAUUUAUAGUCCUUUGGCUGUACACCCGAAUGUUCAUUGCAGCACUGUUUACAAUAGCAAAGACCUGGAACCAACCCAAACGCCCAUUGAUGAUAGACUGGACAGGGAAAAUGUGGCACGUAUACACCAUGGAAUGCUACGCAGCCAUCAAAAGCAAUGAGUUCGUGUCCUUUGUAGGGACAUGGAUGAACCUGGAGAACAUCAUUCUCAGCAAACUGAUAGAAGAACAGAAAAUCAAACACUGCAUGUUCUCACUCAUAGGUGGGUGUUGAACAAUGAGAACACAUGGACACAGGAAGGGGAGCACUACA